GACGAACGCUGGCGGCGUGCUUAACACAUGCAAGUCGAACGAUGAAGCCAGCUUGCUGGUGGAUUAGUGGCGAACGGGUGAGUAACACGUGGGUGAUCUGCCCCAAACUUUGGGAUAAGCCUGGGAAACUGGGUCUAAUACCGAAUAUGACCGAUACUCGCAUGGGUGUUGGUGGAAAGCUCCGGCGGUUUGGGAUGGGCCCGCGGCCUAUCAGCUUGUUGGUGGGGUAAUGGCCUACCAAGGCGACGACGGGUAGCCGGCCUGAGAGGGCGACCGGCCACACUGGGACUGAGACACGGCCCAGACUCCUACGGGAGGCAGCAGUGGGGAAUAGUGCACAAUGGGCGCAAGCCUGAUGCAGCGACGCCGCGUGAGGGAUGACGGCCUUCGGGUUGUAAACCUCUUUCACCAGGGACGAAGCGAAAGUGACGGUACCUGGAGAAGAAGCACCGGCCAACUACGU
RNAcentral lists this ribosomal RNA (463 nucleotides) under uncultured bacterium. RNAcentral's name for it is "partial 16S ribosomal RNA". It matches the Rfam family "Bacterial small subunit ribosomal RNA", at positions 28 to 506 of the family's 1533-position model. The record is from RNAcentral.